UCCUCAGGCAGACACUACAAGGUAGACCUUU
Molecule: non-coding RNA, 31 nt
Filed under: Mus musculus (house mouse)
Lineage: Eukaryota; Metazoa; Chordata; Mammalia; Rodentia; Muridae
Source: RNAcentral